AUUGAACGCUGGCGGCAGGCCUAGCACAUGCAAGUCGAGCGGAUGAAGGGAGCUUGCUCCUGGAUUCAGCGGCGGACGGGUGAGUAAUGCCUAGGAAUCUGCCUGGUAGUGGGGGAUAACGUCCGGAAACGGGCGCUAAUACCGCAUACGUCCUGAGGGAGAAAGUGGGGGAUCUUCGGACCUCACGCUAUCAGAUGAGCCUAGGUCGGAUUAGCUAGUUGGUGGGGUAAAGGCCUACCAAGGCGACGAUCCGUAACUGGUCUGAGAGGAUGAUCAGUCACACUGGAACUGAGACACGGUCCAGACUCCUACGGGAGGCAGCAGUGGGGAAUAUUGGACAAUGGGCGAAAGCCUGAUCCAGCCAUGCCGCGUGUGUGAAGAAGGUCUUCGGAUUGUAAAGCACUUUAAGUUGGGAGGAAGGGCAGUAAGUUAAUACCUUGCUGUUUCGACGUUACCAACAGAAUAAGCACCGGCUAACUUCGUG
RNAcentral lists this ribosomal RNA (484 nucleotides) under uncultured bacterium. RNAcentral's name for it is "partial 16S ribosomal RNA". It matches the Rfam family "Bacterial small subunit ribosomal RNA", at positions 30 to 507 of the family's 1533-position model. The record is from RNAcentral.